GGAAAAGAGAAUCGGAUGAGCCUCGGCGUCUACCCUCCUUGGCCGGUUCUUUGUCUGCUCCGCCCGCUCCGAGCUCAAGCACGGCAAAACACUCUGGCCAAAGGAGCAUUUGGACCUGAGUGCACUGAGGAAGGGGCCUUGGGGAACAACAGUUCUCACGCUCCUGGAAUGCCUGCUUGGAGUUCAGCGCAAAAUCUACAGGACAACAGUCAGCAUCAGAGCAAGUUACUGUUAAAGAUAUUUGCCUUGGACAAUGUGUUCCCUCUGCCCUGAUAAGACUGCCUAAACUAGGUUGACAUGAGCCAUGCAACAAGCCAUCCCAUUCUGGCCCUGGCCUUUACAAAACCUCCUAUACAGUAUGUUGCAGAACGCUUUUCUUCUACAUCUUUGUUCUCAUGUCCUUGACAUACAAAUAAAUAAGUGCAAAGGUCUCAGCUGGUUGCUGUUCCCUUGAGUCUCUCUUAUGCCUAAGAAGCAGCCCCUUGAGUUCUUGGUGAAUGAAUUAAAUCUUGUCUGUGAGUAAUCUUUAUCCCCGAUGCAGCCGCGGUUUUAUACUGUGACACUGGGACAAAAUACCUGACACGUGUGACUUAAAGAAGAGAUUUGGCUCACAGUUCCAGAGGGUUCACUCAGGCUGCUAUCGCCAAGGCAGGAUCAGCAUGGUGGAAGAAUGCGGCAGGGAGAAGCUGUUCAAACCCGGGGGACAGAAACAGAGAGAGCAGGAGCAGGGAAUGUAAGCUUCCAGGUUACACUUUCUGUGGCGCACCGCCUACAGCCAGGCCCUGCAUUCUAAUAACACAUUCAGCUAUGAACUCACAAUGACGUAACCCACGGGGAAGUGUAACAUCCCCGCGAUCCAGUCACCUUCCCAAACCCCCACUUCUGAACGGAGGAGACGCUGAGGGAACAUCUUAGGUCUGACUCAUGACAUAACAGCUGAGCAAAUCAGAUACAGUAUAUUAGAGAGAGAAUUACCACUUUCUAAACUGUAUUGUUUGUGAUUUUGCAGAAAAAGGCGGAGUGUGAAGAGGGCAGAGACAAUAAAUACCUUUUACAUAGAAGCAUUAAUGUAAGUUCAUAAAAUGAAAAUUAAAAAAUUGGAUAAAUGA
Chinchilla lanigera (long-tailed chinchilla) is the source of this 1109-nucleotide long non-coding RNA. RefSeq lists it as uncharacterized. The record is from RefSeq and is a predicted model, not a curated record. Lineage: Eukaryota; Metazoa; Chordata; Mammalia; Rodentia; Chinchillidae. The transcript is spliced from 2 exons.